UACGGAGGGUGCAAGCGUUAAUCGGAAUUACUGGGCGUAAAGCGUGCGCAGGCGGUUGUGCAAGACAGAUGUGAAAUCCCCGGGCUUAACCUGGGAAUUGCAUUUGUGACUGCACGGCUAGAGUGUGUCAGAGGGGGGUAGAAUUCCACGUGUAGCAGUGAAAUGCGUAGAUAUGUGGAGGAAUACCGAUGGCGAAGGCAGCCCCCUGGGAUAACACUGACGCUCAUGCACGAAAGCGUGGGGAGCAAACAGG
Molecule: ribosomal RNA, 253 nt
Filed under: uncultured bacterium
Lineage: Bacteria
Description: partial 16S ribosomal RNA
Rfam family: Bacterial small subunit ribosomal RNA
Source: RNAcentral